AGCUUUCCCAAAUGUAAAACUCUUAAAAGCAAAAUUGAAUAAUGUUUCGCCCGACCAUGGAUCUACGGUAGCCGUGGUUGUUGUCCGUGUUUGAAUGGCGUGAAAAAAUAUUGUCGCAGAUUUGUUAUGUCUGUUGCAUUCUUUUAAUUCACACCGUCCAAAAAAAUCGGACGGAACCAAACAUGCGGGCAAAAAUGCUGUUUAUUUUCACCCACCUAUAAAUAUUGCGUAGUCGCUUCCAUAGAAAAUGUAGUAUAAAAAUGUAGUAGAGGAACAAGUAUACUAGAAACAAGAGGACCUGAUCGUUGUGGUUUUCAUUCCCCCGACUAAUACCUUAAAAAAGC
This 344-nucleotide long non-coding RNA is filed under the name Amborella trichopoda. Its description in RNAcentral is "long non-coding RNA (ATRI_LNC003470)". The record is from RNAcentral. Lineage: Eukaryota; Viridiplantae; Streptophyta; Magnoliopsida; Amborellales; Amborellaceae.